CAGUCGCCGCGGUAAGACAGAGGAUGCAAGCGUUAUCCGGAAUGAUUGGGCGUAAAGCGUCUGUAGGUGGCUUUUCAAGUCCGCCGUCAAAUCCCAGGGCUCAACCCUGGACAGGCGGUGGAAACUACCAAGCUGGAGUACGGUAGGGGCAGAGGGAAUUUCCGGUGGAGCAGUGAAAUGCGUUGAGAUCGGAAAGAACACCAACGGCGAAGGCACUCUGCUGGGCCGACACUGACACUGAGAGACGAAAGCUAGGGGAGCAAAUGGGAUUAGAUACCCCCGUAGUCCCUGUCUCUUAUAA
RNAcentral lists this ribosomal RNA (301 nucleotides) under uncultured bacterium. RNAcentral describes it as "partial 16S ribosomal RNA". It matches the Rfam family "Bacterial small subunit ribosomal RNA", at positions 509 to 809 of the family's 1533-position model. The record is from RNAcentral.